This 622-nucleotide ribosomal RNA is filed under the name uncultured bacterium. RNAcentral describes it as "bacterial SSU rRNA". It matches the Rfam family "Bacterial small subunit ribosomal RNA", at positions 776 to 1396 of the family's 1533-position model. The record is from RNAcentral.
GAUUAGAUACCCUGGUAGUCUACGCUGUAAACGAUGGUUACUAGCUGUUCGUCACGCCUUAGGCGAGAUGAGUGGUUAAGCGAAAGUGAUAAGUAACCCACCUGGGGAGUACGUUUGCAAGAAUGAAACUCAAAGGAAUUGACGGGGGCCCGCACAAGCGGUGGAGCAUGUGGUUUAAUUCGAUGAUACGCGAGGAACCUUACCAAGGCUUAAAUGCAUAUUGACGAUUCACGAAAGUGGAUUUUCUUCGGACAAUUUGCAAGGUGCUGCAUGGUUGUCGUCAGCUCGUGCCGUGAGGUGUCAGGUUAAGUCCUAUAACGAGCGCAACCCCUGUGGUUAGUUACCAGCAUGUAAUGAUGGGGACUCUAGCCAGGCUGCCGGUGCAAACCGUGAGGAAGGUGGGGAUGACGUCAAAUCAUCACGGCCCUUACGCCUUGGGCUACACACGUGCUACAAUGGUAUAUACAAUGAGCAGCCAUCUGGCGACAGAGCGCUAAUCUAUAAAGUAUAUCACAGUUCGAAUCGGAGUCUGCAACUCGACUCUGUGAAGCUGGAAUCGCUAGUAAUCGCACAUCAGCCAUGGUGCGGUGAAUACGUUCCCGGGCCUUGUACACACCGCCCG